Molecule: long non-coding RNA, 3225 nt
Organism: Passer domesticus (house sparrow)
Lineage: Eukaryota; Metazoa; Chordata; Aves; Passeriformes; Passeridae
Exons: 5
Source: RefSeq, a predicted model, not a curated record
GUGAUGAGAAGUGAGUGCUCUCUCACCCCACCAGUCCAUUGGGAUCUCCACGGGCUCAUGCAAACUUACGACAUCCCCCCAUUCUCUUUUCACUUUGAUGGGAAGGCAUGGAAAACUUCAGUGCAUGGUACGAAACCUCGCAGGCUGAAAUGAAGUGAAAAGAAAUUCAAUCCCUGCUAGCAAGUGCCUGGACAGUAGUUUACAUAGGAGUCAGGCUGUCCUUUCCUCAUGGUUUGUUGCUGGUUCUUCUUCUCUUCUAUAUUAUCACUGCAAAGAGUUGUCCUUCCAACUGUGUGAGCUCUCAAGGUCUUCAGAGCAGCACCAAUGACAGAAAAUUAAUAAGAAGAAUCAGGAAUAACAACUAAGAAUAAAUACCCCUGCAAACCCUUCCUCAGUGUAGUUUGUAGGAGAUAUUCGACAUUGACUCAAGAGGACAAAGAAAGAAGACAGACUGACUAAAAAUGCUUACAUCUGGAAUGUUAGUAUUCUUAGCAGCGGUGUGUUGUACAAGAAACACAGAUGUCAGGGUGGAUAAACAAAAAUGAGCUUUCAAGGAAAAGCUACUGACAGAGGUUUAAGGGAGUCCUUGACUGUUUACAGUGGAGACUGGUGAGAAGGGAAGGACUUUCAUCUCUCUUCGCCACAGCCAAAGAAGCAGAAAAUAAGAAGAAUGUAUUUGUGCUGCAAAAGUAAUUGAAGUACCUUGGUAUUAAAGAAAACUGCUCUCUCCACUCCUGUCAGGAGAGGGAAUAAUGAACCUUGCUACAACAAGUGUGAUCAAUGACAGCUAACUAUCACAGCUGCAAGAGUUUCCAUCACAAGAGCUACAACAUCUCCUCAGACAUUAUGGAGAAGAGUAAAUAUAGUAAACAGUAAUCUGAGCAGGACAUACAUAACUGAGAAAAGCAUGUUUCAAUCAUUGUGUGAGCCAAGGGGAUGUUACAUAAUUUUUGCUAUUGUACAUACACCUGCAAUCCAGUACUGCAUUCUGUCUCUAUAAUUCUUGUUCAGAAUCUCCACAGUCAUGGAUUCAAGGAAUAGUUUGGGUUGGAAAGGACCUUUUGAGGUGAUUAUCUUCUACCCCACAUACAGUAAACAAUUGAUUUACAGGUGUUCCUUUUGCUAAAAGCCAUGUAAAGAGAAAAGCAUGUGACAAAAUAAUUUCAUUUAGUUUUAGAUUAACACUUCUAGCCCUUCAGCUGAACUAUGUGGCGAGUCUAGGUGAGGGUAGUAUUCCAUCAACAAUACAAAAAAACAGAAAAAGAAAACCAACCCAACGCUGAUUUUGUCAAAUUUUUUGCUUAGGAUGAAUACUUGGAUGUUUAAACAACAUCAAAAUUCUCUGCUUUAUUUUAACAUUUUGAAAUGUAUUUUUAUGUUCUUCAUUUUUAGUAUUACAUAUUAACAAUCCCAUAUAAACAGGCUUUUUUAUUGCUUCAAGAAUUCUGAAGACUUUUAUUUCUUCAAGAAUUCUGAAGACUUCCGUUUGAAUGAAUAUGUUUUUAAAUCUCACUUUUUUAGUAAAACUGCCAUUUUGCCCUCUGUACAUUUCUAGUUAUGCUCCUCUUGAGGCUAUAAAGUGCAGAGUGGUUCUUGAUUACAAUGUUGGAAACAGUGCUUAAUUUGUAUACAGAGAUCUGUAAAUGUGGCAGUUUCAGCCCCAGUAACUACUGAAAUGAAACAACUCCUUUCUUCUUGUUAGUGAUCCUCCUUUUUUUGAUCUUUGCUUUUUCCAUGACCAUGUGGUAGCUUUUACUGUACUUCUAGAUUGCACUAUAACCAUGGCAAUUUGCUCCAGAGUAAACAGAACAUGUACAAGCAAUUUAUAUUUUGUAGGCACUGAAAUUCAAGGCCAGCCCAGUGACAAUGUCAGAUAUGAACAAUGUAUUCAAGACAAAACUGUGAAUCAUUGCAACUGGAGGAAUGGCCCAUUUUCAGAGCUCACCACUCUUUUCUUCCUUGCUAUUAUUGCUCUGGAGAUGUGGGACAUAUUUUGGAUGAUGGUGUUUAGUCAAAAGCCUCAUCUCCCUGUUCAGGAUGGAGCCUGAAUUUCAAUUCUGAUGCACUGCUGACACUAGAAACAGGUGGCUGUGAAGCCACUGGAGUAAAAUUGCUGCUGAGAGAGGUUAGCUGAGUUUGUGUCUUGUGUUUUGAGCACAGAAAUGUCAAGAGACAAGGAGAUUUAUAUCUGUUUCCCAAACUGAAAGUAUUUUGUAUCUUGCAUCACUUAUUUUGAUCACAAUGUGCAUUUUAAAGUAAUUUAGACAAUUCCUUCUAGUGCUAUUUCUCUAAAGAACAGUCUGGAAGAGGUGAAAAAUGGAUGCCUUGUGUCUUAUGACAAUAAAUACAUCCUCAGGCUUUUCAGAAUGGUUUGGAGCUAAAAGAUCUGAUUUACAUCUAAUUUGUACCAGAGAAAGGAAUGUCAUGUCAUUUCAAUAUAGAUAGUGAUAAACAUUGGUUUUCAGCAAUAUAAAUAAUACAGUAAGUAAACUGGAGGUCAGGGACUCAAAAAACCUUAAUUUAUACCAUAAAUCUUUGUAAACUCUUGCUGGGAAAUUUUUCUAUCCACAAUAUUUUUUUUUUUAAAUUUAAUCAUUUGUUGUUAAAAGGAACCAGGAUGCAAUUGAAACACAGUGCAAAACUCAUUUCCUGGGACUAAAACGAGCUGGGAAUUUAUACCAGGGCAAUAAUUGUUUUCCAGAACUAUCUGUAGGCCUCACCUACUAUCAAGAUUUCAGAACCUAAGAAAAACGUAUCAAUAAGAAGAAGCCUCUCCCUCAAAGUGAACAUCCUACAGAAACACAGAGAGCCCAGUCAGGAUACUCCAGUGUCAGCCUUAGUCUCCCAUGGAAGCAAAGCAGUUAACAUCCCAUAGGAGACCUAGCUAGCUAAGAAACCUGCAGCUAAUGGUCUUGCCAGCCAGCACAAUUUAAUUAACAACAGUGUGGAUUAUGUAAAGGCAGAGGAUUCUUUGUAAAUGGAUGUGCUGUCUGGAGGGUUUCAAUUGCUCCUGAUAAUUGUCAUAUUCAGCUUAUCUGGCUGAUUUUGGGUGGAGUUAAAUAAUCUAGAGAUAAAUGAAUUCUGCUACUGCCCCAUUUUGGCAGAGUUCUGUCAAUCUGUUGUCCAGUUUUCUCUCCUAUAGCUAUAUUGAUAAGCUUCUCAUUUUCUGACCUGAUCUUGAUUGUACCUCUGCUUAUUUUUUCAUGACACCACUAUGAAUAAAAA